RNAcentral lists this ribosomal RNA (433 nucleotides) under uncultured bacterium. Its description in RNAcentral is "partial 16S ribosomal RNA". It matches the Rfam family "Bacterial small subunit ribosomal RNA", at positions 355 to 799 of the family's 1533-position model. The record is from RNAcentral.
UGGGGAAUAUUGCACAAUGGGCGAAAGCCUGAUGCAGCAACGCCGCGUGCGGGAUGACGGCCUUCGGGUUGUAAACCGCUUUCAGCAGGGACGAAGGUUUUCUGACGGUACCUGCAGAAGAAGCACCGGCUAACUACGUGCCAGCAGCCGCGGUGAUACGUAGGGUGCGAGCGUUGUCCGGAAUUAUUGGGCGUAAAGAGCUUGUAGGCGGUCCGUUGCGUCGGAAGUGAAAACUCAGGGGCUUAACCCUGAGCCUGCUUUCGAUACGGGCGGACUUGAGGGAUGUAGGGGAGAACGGAAUUCCUGGUGGAGCGGUGGAAUGCGCAGAUAUCAGGAGGAACACCAGUGGCGAAGGCGGUUCUCUGGACAUUUCCUGACGCUGAGAAGCGAAAGCGUGGGGNGCAAACAGGCUUANAUACCCUGGUAGUCCACG